RNAcentral lists this ribosomal RNA (265 nucleotides) under uncultured bacterium. RNAcentral describes it as "partial 16S ribosomal RNA". It matches the Rfam family "Bacterial small subunit ribosomal RNA", at positions 793 to 1055 of the family's 1533-position model. The record is from RNAcentral.
GUCCACGCCGUAAACGAUGGGCACUAGGCGUCGGGGGGAGCGACCCUCCCGGUGCCGUCGCUAACGCUGUAAGUGCCCCGCCUGGGGAGUACGGCCGCAAGGCUGAAACUCAAAGGAAUUGACGGGGGCCCGCACAAGCGGUGGAGCAUGUGGUUUAAUUCGAAGCAACGCGAAGAACCUUACCUGGGCUUGACAUGCAUGAGUAAGCCGGUGGAAACACCGGGCCUCCUUCGGGACUCAUGCACAGGUGCUGCAUGGCUGUCGU